UCGACGAUGAUUUGUUUUAAUUGGAAUUACCAUAUGAUAUUUGACGAGAAUUUUUGGCCGACUAAGG
RNAcentral lists this small nucleolar RNA (67 nucleotides) under Vigna radiata var. radiata (mung bean). The record is from RNAcentral. Lineage: Eukaryota; Viridiplantae; Streptophyta; Magnoliopsida; Fabales; Fabaceae.